AGGACGAACGCUGGCGGCGUGCUUAACACAUGCAAGUCGAGCGGAAAGGCCCUUCGGGGUACUCGAGCGGCGAACGGGUGAGUAACACGUGAGUAACCUGCCCCUAGCUCUGGGAUAGCUCCGGGAAACCGGGAUUAAUACCAGAUACGACCACUUUAGACAUCUGUCGUGGUGGAAAGGAUUCCGGCUAGGGAUGGGCUCGCGGCCUAUCAGCUUGUUGGUGGGUAACGGCCUACCGAAGGCGACGACGGUA
This 253-nucleotide ribosomal RNA is filed under the name uncultured bacterium. RNAcentral describes it as "partial small subunit ribosomal RNA". It matches the Rfam family "Bacterial small subunit ribosomal RNA", at positions 26 to 285 of the family's 1533-position model. The record is from RNAcentral.